This 846-nucleotide long non-coding RNA is filed under the name Homo sapiens (human). Its description in RNAcentral is "HSALNT0142016". Lineage: Eukaryota; Metazoa; Chordata; Mammalia; Primates; Hominidae. The record is from RNAcentral.
UGGGACUACAGGCGCUCGCCGUCACGCCCGGCUAAUUUUUUUGUGUUUUUAGUAGAGACAGGGUUUCACCGUGUUAGCCAGGAUGGUCUCCAUCUUCUGACCUCGUGAUCCGCCCGCCUCGGCCUCCCAAAGUGCUGGGAUUUCAGACAUGAGCCACCGUGCCCGGCCCGACUUUCUUAAUAUUAGAGAGGAGCAUGGACUGGAUGAAUGACAGAAUAAGACUGACUUGAACAGACGAAACUCAAACUCUGGAAAAGAAGCCAGAUCACUCACUAUUACUAGUGAUAUAAAAAUUGCAGUGCUGGCAUUUGGAGGAUGUAGAGUCUCAGAAUAAUCCACAUCUUUCUACGUGCAGCCUAAGACCCUGACCCUCACCUUGACAGUCACACACAUUUGACACUGAAUGUGUCCAGUAUAUGGUCAUGUGCUGCCUAACAAUGUUUCAGUCAAUGAUGGACCACAUAUAUAAUGGUGCAACCAUAAGGUUAUACUAUGAUAUCUUUUUAUUUUCUAUGUUUAGAUAUGUUUAGAGAUAAAAAUACUUGCAUUACAUUGUAUUAUAACUGUUUACCAUAUUCAGUACAAUAACAUGAUGUUCAGGCUUGUAGCCUAAGAGCAACAGGUGAUACUAUAUAGCUUAGGUGUGUGGUAGGCUAUUCCAUCUAGGCUUGAAAGUACACUCUGAUGUAGAGUGUGUAAAUACACUCUGAUAUUUGUACAAUGAUGAAAUCACCUAAUGACACAUUUCUCAGAGAGUAUCGCCAUUGUUAAGAAACACGUGACUAUAUUACUAAACUUUUAAUGUUGUAUAAAUGGAGCAAUAUGUAAUUAUAAAUAAUUACAAAU